CCUACGGGAGGCAGCAGUGAGGAAUAUUGGUCAAUGGCCGGAAGGCUGAACCAGCCAAGCCGCGUGAGGGAGGAAGGCUCAGAGGUUCGCAAACCUCUUUUGCCGGGGAACAAAAGUCCCGACUCGUCCAGUCUUGCGUGUACCCGAAGAAUAAGCAUCGGCUAACUCCGUGCCAGCAGCCGCGGUAAUACGGAGGAUGCGAGCGUUAUCCGGAUUUAUUGGGUUUAAAGGGUGCGGAGGCUGGUCUUUAAGCCAGCGGUGAAAGUUCGUGGCUCAACCAUCCCAGUGCCGUUGAAACUGGACGCCUUGAGUGUGGCUGAGGCAUGCGGAAUGCGUGGUGUAGCGGUGAAAUGCAUAGAUAUCGCGCAGAACUCCGAUUGCGAAGGCAGCUUGCUGAGCCGUAACUGACGCUGAGGCACGAAAGCGUGGGGAUCGAACAGGAUUAGAUACCCGUGUAGUC
RNAcentral lists this ribosomal RNA (460 nucleotides) under uncultured bacterium. RNAcentral's name for it is "partial 16S ribosomal RNA". It matches the Rfam family "Bacterial small subunit ribosomal RNA", at positions 338 to 795 of the family's 1533-position model. The record is from RNAcentral.